This 48-nucleotide non-coding RNA is filed under the name Schistosoma curassoni. Lineage: Eukaryota; Metazoa; Platyhelminthes; Trematoda; Strigeidida; Schistosomatidae. The record is from RNAcentral.
AUUCAGCUGACGAGUCUUAAAUAGGACGAAACACACGUCAAACUGAAU